RNAcentral lists this ribosomal RNA (578 nucleotides) under uncultured bacterium. Its description in RNAcentral is "bacterial SSU rRNA". It matches the Rfam family "Bacterial small subunit ribosomal RNA", at positions 273 to 842 of the family's 1533-position model. The record is from RNAcentral.
GCGACGAUGCAUAGCCGAGUUGAGAGACUGAUCGGCCACAUUGGGACUGAGACACGGCCCAAACUCCUACGGGAGGCAGCAGUAGGGAAUCUUCCACAAUGGGCGAAAGCCUGAUGGAGCAACGCCGCGUGAGUGAAGAAGGUUUUCGGAUCGUAAAGCUCUGUUGUUGGUGAAGAAGGAUAGAGGUAGUAACUGGCCCCUAUUUGACGGUAAUCAACCAGAAAGUCACGGCUAACUACGUGCCAGCAGCCGCGGUAAUACGUAGGUGGCAAGCGUUGUCCGGAUUUAUUGGGCGUAAAGCGAGCGCAGGCGGAAAGAUAAGUCUGAUGUGAAAGCCCCCGGCUUAACCGAGGAAUUGCAUCGGAAACUGUGUUUCUUGAGUGCAGAAGAGGAGAGUGGAACUCCAUGUGUAGCGGUGGAAUGCGUAGAUAUAUGGAAGAACACCAGUGGCGAAGGCGGCUCUCUGGUCUGUAACUGACGCUGAGGCUCGAAAGCAUGGGUAGCGAACAGGAUUAGAUACCCUGGUAGUCCAUGCCGUAAACGAUGAGUGCUAAGUGUUGGGAGGUUUCCGCCUCUCA